UGCUGUACUGGGGACCUAGAGUCUGAAU
This 28-nucleotide non-coding RNA is filed under the name Homo sapiens (human). Lineage: Eukaryota; Metazoa; Chordata; Mammalia; Primates; Hominidae. The record is from RNAcentral.